RNAcentral lists this ribosomal RNA (433 nucleotides) under uncultured bacterium. RNAcentral's name for it is "partial 16S ribosomal RNA". It matches the Rfam family "Bacterial small subunit ribosomal RNA", at positions 29 to 507 of the family's 1533-position model. The record is from RNAcentral.
AAUGAACGCUGGCGGCAGGCCUAACACAUGCAAGUCGAGCGAUCAUUUCGGUGCUAGCGGCGGACGGGUGAGUAACGCGUGGGAACGUGCCCUUUUCUGCGGAAUAGUCCUUGGAAACUGGGGGUAAUACCGCAUACGCCCUUUUGGGGAAAGAUUUAUCGGAGAAGGAUCGGCCCGCGUUGGAUUAGGUAGUUGGUGGGGUAAUGGCCCACCAAGCCGACGAUCCAUAGCUGGUUUGAGAGGAUGAUCAGCCACACUGGGACUGAGACACGGCCCAGACUCCUACGGGAGGCAGCAGUGGGGAAUCUUAGACAAGGGGGGCAACCCUGAUCUAGCCAUGCCGCGUGAGUGAUGAAGGCCUUAGGGUUGUAAAGCUCUUUCAGCUGGGAAGAUAAUGACGGUACCAGAAGAAGAAGCCCCGGCUAACUCCGUG